Cynoglossus semilaevis (tongue sole) is the source of this 4129-nucleotide long non-coding RNA. RefSeq lists it as uncharacterized. The transcript has 5 exons. The record is from RefSeq and is a predicted model, not a curated record. NCBI's taxonomy places the organism in Eukaryota, Metazoa, Chordata, Actinopteri, Pleuronectiformes, Cynoglossidae.
GUGGAGUUGGAGUCAUUAUUGGCCGAAGGAGGAACAGAUCCUGACUCUGGGGACUGACACCACACCCAUCUGUGUGUGUGUGUGUGUGUGGGUGUGUGGGUGUGUGGGUGUUAUUUAUGUUGAAUGAGAAGGUGCCAGUGGAUUUAAACUACGUUCACAGCGCCUUUUACUCACUUUGGAAAAUCACUCCAGUGACAGAACGGUCGAGACAAACCUGCUGACGGUGGCAAUGAUUGAUCUCUCCUCGAGUUUUACCAGCAUAUUAAUCGGAGGAGUGGUGUUAGCAGUGCUGCUGCUGGCUUGUUUAGCAGCAUUACUUCUGUGGUUGAUGUGCAGACGCAAAGGCUCGUAUACAACCAACGAGAUGGACGGUGAUGUCGAUGACGACGACGGUGAUGAUGACAUGGUGAUGACAACCAAGCAGCGUCUGUUCGAGAAAGAAGAUGAGUGACGUGGAUAAAUGGAAUCAGGAGUGAAAGACAAAGUAUGGGUUUGCACAGUCACAACUUGUUUUUUUUCUUCUUUUCCUUUGGCCAGACCCCUAAAAAAGCUGCACUCCCAAAAAUUGCACUUUGGCGUCACCUAGUGGUAGAAAGACAACGCAAAUCUCCUGUAAAGCAUUUAAACAGGGCCAGUCAAAAAAGGACUGGAUUGUGGUAUCAUAGUUAUUGGUUAUUCUUUGAAUUCGUUUUCUAUGUUGUUUUAUUUAUCAUAUAAUUACAGCAGUUUUUGUCUAGUGUUGAUUUAAUGUCAAAUUCAAUAUUUUUACCAAAAACCUUUGCUGAUUACGAUUUUGUACAUUUUCACACUUUCUGUGGACAUUGAUUGAUUGUAAUUUACUUAAAAACACAUAUUAUAUAGAAGAAGAAAGGGUUUCCUCUUCCUGAUUACUACUCGUGAUUGGCUAAACCUUUUAUUUGUUGUUUUUGUUUGUUUUGUGUUGUUUUUAUAUUUGUUUUUUUAACCUUUAGCUAAAUACCACAUUAAAAUGAUGGCUGACCUGCAGUCUAUGCCAUGUGUUUGCCACACAGUAAAGUUUUCCAUCAUUAGCUGAUCAUUAUGGAGCUCAUGGUUAUUUUCUACACUGUAUGACUUUAUGCUUUUCUUACUUACUCAUGAUUACUGUUAAGUUGUGUAACUGUUUGAAGAACAAAAAUAAUUAUUAUUUUAGUACUCUUGUAACACUUUAAUUAGACAAACUAGAUUUAAGUUCAAAAUGAACUCUUUCUUCAUUUACUUUUAAAAAGAGAGAAAAUGGAUUCAGUUUUAUUGGUACAUUUCCCAUGCUGCCACUGGGACUCUCACUUUGUUAUCACUCACCUUUAAAAAUAAUCUUUGUGCAGACAGUUGAUUACAUUCUGACUCCCCGAUGAUCUUCAUUGGGAUGUUAACCUUUUUAAAGAGUAAAACGCAUCGACUCCGUUUUCGCGUGUUCAUAUGUCCAUCUAGUGGCUCAAAAUAAGCAUGACAGCUUUGGGGUUUUGGACAUUAUGUUGUCAUUAUUUUACCUACAUGCGGCUCAUCGGGUUGUUAUGGUUUAAAUGGAAUAUAUAAGUGAGUAUAAAAUACAUAUAUACACGUAUUUUUAUUUGUUUAAUUUGUUUUAUUUUAUGUGUUCAUAUAUUCAUUCACCUGACAUUUGGUGAUGUACAACACCAGGGUUAUAGUUCUUCUGCCCGCAGAGAUUAUGACACAUGUGGACAGGCAGUUUACGGGGCACCUUUAGGGUCUUCUUGGUAAAGUUGGCAGUUGACCAGAUAAUGUCUCUGUCUUUACGUUGUCAGGUAAGCGUAACUAUAUAAAACUAUAUGGAAACAGAAGUGUUUGUAGCGCACUUGUUCGUAUAUUCUAAAUUAUAUCAAAUGUAUGACUGUGAGUUUGCAGAGUUAAUGUGUGUCUGUGUCCAUGGAGCUAACGAGGUUUGUUAGCUCCAUGGACACUACCUUGCGUUAGUAAUGAUGCGUGUCCGUGUGGGUUGACCAGAUGAGCCGGUGCGUUUGGUCACAUUUAAUGAUGUCUCUGUCUCUGUAAUCUCUGGCAUGAAAUAAUAAUAAAAAUAUAUAUAUAUAAAAAUGCACAUGUGGAAGCGUCUGUUUAAGUGUGCAUUAUCUACGUUGUCAUUGACAUAAAUACUUUAAUUAAAAAGUUGUAAGGUAAAACAGAAGCAGCAUCACUGCUAAAACACGCCGCGGGUUGUGAAGGUAACCGCAGUCGGGACACAGGUGUAUUCAUCUGUUUUCGUGGUAUCUUCGGGGUGGUGUUUGUACAUCUGACUACAUGUGUAUCUCAAACCAUAGUGAUAAAUUACUGUAGAGUAAUAAUAGACUACUAAACUUAAAGGCUAACUAUAACCUAUAAAGUUUGAAUCUAUAAAGCUAAAUCUUUGUUCAUGAAGGGCUAAAUGUAAGCCAAAUCAUUGAAGAAAGGUUUAGGUAUUUGUACCUAGAACAUUCUCAAAGAAGUUUAGAAAAUGGACUGAAAAGUAACAGUUAUCUCAUAAAUAUAGCAAAAAAUAGUUAAUAGGUAUUUAAGAAAUGACUGAAUGUUUAUAUUUCAAAAAGUGAGUACAUGAGUUAAGAUAUUAUUCUGGUGUGAUUCCAGGCUGACUUGUAAUAAUAACCCUUGGUUUAAAGUCCCAGGUAACUACUUAACCGUGUUUUUAGGUUACUAUUUGGCUUUAUAUCUUUGUUUGCUAUUUCUGUCCUCACAGUGAGCAUUCCUCACAACUUAAAGAGACAAGACGGCAGUGAUGUGUCACACGAGGAAAGACUGACAGAGCAAAACAGACGAGAGAGGGAGAAAAACAACUUACAGAUGUCGAUCAGAUGAGAAGAAAAGCUGAUCCUGACUAGAGAAAAAUAUUUUUCUAAAGGAAACAAAGAACAAAGAGUUGAGUCAGUGAAGUCACAGAAUCUGGUGGCAAUAACAACAUGUCAACAUGAGGGCAACCAGGGCUGGAGAGCAAUAUAAUGGGAUUAUACCAAGUACAGCAGCAGCUGCUGGAAAAUUACUCGCUUUGUGUACUGCUGAUGAAAGUGGAACUGGGAAAGUGCUGUUAAUGAGUUUGAUCAGUGAUGUCGGAGUGUCAGAUCGGCGCCUUUCAUCCAGUCAUGGGUGUUUUUCCUGAGUUGGGAUGAGCAAUUCUUCCUUUGCAGACAUCAGGUGCGUGUAUGUGUGCGCGCGUGUGUGCUGACAACACUUUUAGGGCUGCAGUUGUUGUUCAGGGAACUGUUUUACUUUGUGUUGAUCUGGGGGUCAGAGGGAGUCAGAGAGGACGUGUGCCUUCUGCCAAACUGUCUGGGUUUGAUUUUUAGUCCUGAGUCAUGGUGGGCGUCUGGUAAUUGUGAGGAGGUGAAGGAAACCAGGAUGGAGGAAGUGAAGCGGAGCAACGACAGAAGAGGGAAAACAAAGAUGGAAAAACUGUUCCAGGAUAACUGUCACAUCUGACUAGGGCUCUACGUCUGACAGAACAAAGACCAGAAAUCUCCUAUUUUUAUUGAGUUUAGGUUGAGAAGUGGACAAAUCUGCAACAGAUUGUUGCUUGUUCUGUUUUGAAGGAAAGACAAUUAUCAAAGUUUUUAGAAAGUUGAAAGAACACUGGUAAGUGGAUUAUAGAGCAAACAAAGAUGAUGGCUUUAUAGCAUGGAUUUUAAAAAGAUAACCAAAACAACAAGCCCAAAACAGUGCAUUAAAAAAGUCCUAUUUCUCCACGUUCUUAGUCUGGUGAUGAAAACAAAUAAAAUAACACCAAUUAAUCCAUCCAAUAGAAAUGAAGUACGUUUCUUUCCUGGCCCGUGUCUUCUUUAAAAAUGUGUGCCAAAUGUAUGGAGAACUUCAACCUGUGUAGCAUAACACAGUGAUGUGGGGCCAAAUGAAGUAGACUGUGACUAUUAAGUCCUAGAACAGUCGGUUUUAUAGGAUUGGUCAGUUGACCCUCCUGUGACGAUGACUCACAGGGUCUUAGCGUUCCACACUGGCGGUCCAUGGAACCAAAUUGUGGACCACAUCUCAGCUAACGCUAACUCCAGUACAGAACUUUUAUGGUCUUGAACAACAUCACGAUAUAGUAGAGGUCGGUUGUUGCUUACAGUAGUUUUUGCUUUUUAGGUUUUGACUACUAAAUACCAGG